Molecule: ribosomal RNA, 664 nt
Filed under: Chaetyllus sp. n. 5 DRM-2016
Lineage: Eukaryota; Metazoa; Arthropoda; Insecta; Coleoptera; Tenebrionidae
Description: eukaryotic LSU rRNA
Rfam family: Eukaryotic large subunit ribosomal RNA
Source: RNAcentral
UUCAGGGGUAAACCUGAGAAACCCGAAAGGUCGAAAGGGGAGAUUCAGCGUGUUUCGAUUGUAGCGUUAGAUAGUUGUGCGACGGAUAGUGUACGCAUUGCCCGCACCUUCUACGUUUUUCGAACUAUUUUCGAACGCGUGCACUUCUCCCCCAGUAGGACGUCGCGAUCCGUUGAGUGUCGAUCUAAGGCCCAUGGUGGUGUCCGUUGAUAAUCUUUUUGAUUUUUAGCGAACCCAUGGUGUUUCCCGGUCGACUUGCUCGACGGUAUAUGAAAGGCGCGAGGCCGCUACAUAGUUAGCGUUCGACGCGUGGCAAGCACGUUUGUUUGUCUUGAACGAUUAAUAGUAUUUUCGGACCUGGUGCCGAUGCUAUUCGCAAACGGCUGUUCGCCUACGCAGUUCUCGAACAGACCUCGUUGAAACGCCGAUCAGCGACGCUAUAGCUUUGGGUAAUUUCAGGACCCGUCUUGAAACACGGACCAAGGAGUCUAGCAUGUGCGCAAGUCAUUGGGACAUAACUAAACCUAAAGGCGUAAUGAAAGUAAAGGUUCGCCUUGUGCGGACCAAGGGAAGAUGGGUGUAUUGUUACGGCAAUUGCCUCGCAUUCCCGGGGCGUCUCAUUCUUAUUGCAAGAAGAGGCGCACCAAGAGCGUACACGCUGGGA